This 238-nucleotide unclassified non-coding RNA is filed under the name plant metagenome. RNAcentral's name for it is "partial contains small subunit ribosomal RNA, internal transcribed spacer 1, and 5.8S ribosomal RNA". The record is from RNAcentral.
GCUCCGUUGGUGAACCAGCGGAGGGAUCAUUAAUGAGGUCAAAACCCUCUCCAAACCACUGUGAACCUACUAAAUUUCGUUGUUUCGGUAGGCGGCCCCUGGGGGGGUCCUAGGCCUUUAGGCGCCUACCGGGCGGCACUUCAAAAAAACCUUACAAUUCUUGCUUUCAGCGUAUACCAGCCUGUCUUAAGGGCGUUAUAAUCAAUAAACACUUUCAACAACGGAUCUCUUGGUUCUG